RNAcentral lists this ribosomal RNA (379 nucleotides) under uncultured bacterium. Its description in RNAcentral is "bacterial SSU rRNA". It matches the Rfam family "Bacterial small subunit ribosomal RNA", at positions 28 to 407 of the family's 1533-position model. The record is from RNAcentral.
GACAAACGCUGGCGGCGUGCAUAAAACAUGCAAGUCGGACGAGCCAAUCCCCGCAAGGGGAAAGGCUAGUGGCGAACGGCUGAGUAACACGUAGGUGAUCUGCCCUGAAGUGGGGGAUAACGACUCGAAAGAGUCGCUAAUACCGCAUGUGACCACCGAUCCGUUUUCGGUGCUCAAAGUCGUAAGACGCUUUAGGAGGAGCCUGCGGCGGAUUAGCUAGUUGGUGAGGUAAUGGCCCACCAAGGCUUCGAUCCGUAGCUGGUCUGAGAGGAUGGCCAGCCAGACUGGGACUGAGACACGGCCCAGACUCCUACGGGAGGCAGCAGUUAGGAAUUUUGCGCAAUGGGGGAAACCCUGACGCAGCCACGCCGCGUGCGGG